CAGAUGACUUAAUGUGCAUGAGAAAUCUUGACCAUGGAGGAUCGUUACCUGAAGAUAAUGAUGGAGCCUACAGUGUGAUCACCUCAGUACCGGCUGCUGACUGUUUUACUGGUCCUGAGAAACUGAAGGAGCAAGAGGCUCAAAAUGAGGAUUCUGCCAUUUAUCAUGUGUACUCCACCAUCUCCGAGAAGCCUCCUCCAUCAGCCCUGAAGGACGUGGUGUAC
This is a long non-coding RNA of Anoplopoma fimbria (sablefish), 224 nucleotides long. RefSeq lists it as uncharacterized. Lineage: Eukaryota; Metazoa; Chordata; Actinopteri; Perciformes; Anoplopomatidae. The record is from RefSeq and is a predicted model, not a curated record. The transcript is spliced from 4 exons.